GAAGCGGCGGCGGUUGGUGUUUAAAGGCUCCGCGGCGGCAAAAGAGCGGCGAGUGGCGGCAGCGCGGGAGGAGCCGCCCGAGGGCUCCCGGUUCCCUCCGCUCCGCCUCGGGAGCGGCUGUACUUCCCGGCCCUGGCAGCACCCGGGCGGAGCGGGGAGAUGGUCUCCAGAGCCGCCGAUCGGCUGCUGAUCGUCGUCUCCGUGCUGGAAGGGCGCUGUUUCCCAAAACGACCCAAGCACAUGCUUAUAGUUGAAGCCAAGUUAGAUGGAGAACAGUUGGCUACUGACCCUGUGGAGCAUACUGAUCAGCCCGAAUUUGCUACAGAAUUGGCCUGGGAACUUGAUAGGAAAGCACUUCAUCAGCACAGGCUGCAGCGUACACCUAUCAAACUACAAUGUUUUGCACUGGAUCCUGUUUCUUCAGCUCAAGAGAAUAUAGGCUAUAUUGUACUGGAUUUAAGGGCUGCACAGGAAAAGAAACAGGCACCUAAAUGGUACCCUUUGCUUAGUAACAAAUACCCUAAGUUUAAACCUGAAAUACAAAUUGGUGUUGCAUUGGAGAUAGAUUCAAAAGCACUGGUUGAUGAUUUUAAGGCAAAGGAGGCACCCCCUAGAGAAGGGAAGGUACUCACCCUUUUUCCUGGACUAGACCCUAAAAGUAUUGUGCCAGUCUUGAAUGAAGAAGAGGGCUAUCACCAAAUUGGACCAGCAGAGUAUUGCAGAGAUCACUUUGUCAUGUCUGUAACCAUUGCAUUUGCCACUCGGUUGGAACAGUUAGUUCCUAGUACUAUGAAGCUCCCUGAUCGACAGCCUGAGUUUUUUUUCUACUACUCAUUACUGGGAAACGAUGUCACAAAUGAACCUUUCACUGACUUAAUUAAUCCAAACUUUGAGCCAGAAAGAGCUUCAGUUCGAAUACGUAGUACAGUAGAUGUUCUUCAAGUUUAUCUUUGUGCACAGUCAAAGUUGCAGCACCUUGUGUGUGUGCAGAUCCAUCUUUGCUGUGGGGACCACUCUCUUGGAAGCACUGAAGUUCCCCUGUCUGGACUACUGAAGAAAGGAAACAUGGAGAUUGACCAGCACCCUGUGGCAAUAGAGGGACCAUUUGUUCUUGUUCCACCAAAUAGAGCUAAACAGAAAUUGACAAAACUGCCUUUGGAUCUGGCUCCUACUGUUGGGGUAUCUGUAAUUCUUCAAAGGGAGAACUUGACUACCCAGCCUUCGAUUCCCUUAAAUGCUGCAACUGAGCCCAAACAGCCACAGGAGAAAAUUCUUUCACCUGUUAGUAGAAAAAUAGAGAACCAGCAGCAGAGAUCCCAGAAUGUCCCAUCUCAAGUUGACCACAGUUCUUCAAAAGAAGAUGUAGCAACAGAAAGUGAAGUGGAAAGUCUUAAGCUUGAAAAAGGCUCAAAACCAAGGAAAAGGGGGCUGGUGGCUGGCUGCCCUCAAGAGGUUAACAAACAGUGUUUUGAAGAGCCUCCAGCUUUGAAAUCGCAGAGCAGAGCAAAGUCACCUCUGUUAGAUGUGCAAAAUCACACUGAUAGUGGUGCAGUAGCGAUAUCUCAGCCCAAUCCUGUGGGUAUGUCCAGCUCUUCUGACCCUGUGUCAGCACAGAAAAUUGUUAUUCCAGCAGCCGCUCACCAUUUUUGCUUUUCAAUAGACUUAAGAAGUAUACGUGGUCUGGAAGUUGGUUUUCCAAUAAAUUGCAUUUUAAGGUACUCGUACCCAUUUUUUGGCAGUGCAGCACCUAUUAUGACAAGUCCACCUGUAGAAAUUAGAAAGAACAUGGAAGUCUUUCUUCCAAAGUCAUAUUGUGCAUUUGACUUCGCAACUAUACCUCAUCAGCUUCAAGAUACAUUCUUCAGACUGCCUCUGCUGGUUGAAUUGUGGCACAAGGAUAAAACAGCCAAAGACUUACUUCUAGGAGUGGCAAGGCUUCAGCUUUCAAAUGUUUUGGCUUCAGAAAAAACCCGCUUCUUGGGUGGGACUGGUGAACAAUGCUGGCGUCAGACUUAUAAUGAAGCAGUCAGCUUCACAGCAGCACAAGGGUCAGGCAGCAGAAUAGCAGAGCUUUCGUAUGCCAUCACCUUGGAAGACUAUGGACUUGUCAAAGUGCAAGAAGUUAUGGUGUCAGAGUCUUCUCAAGAUGUAGGUGCUGGUCGACAACGGCAUGUCCCUCACACUCAGCCUCGCUGUGCCCAAGAAGACCAUCCAGAACCUCGAGAAACUCUGGAAUACAAAGCAGCACUGGAGUUAGAAAUGUGGAAGGAAAUGCAAGAAGACCUUUUUGAAAAUCAGCUUAAAAAGAAGGAAAUGGUCCAUAUGCAAGCACUUGCAGAGGAAUGGAAGAAAAGAGAUAGAGAGAGAGAGGCAUUAGUGAAGAAAAAGGUAGCAGAAUAUAAUGUUUUGGAAGAACAACUUCAGAAAACCCUGAGAGAUCUGGAUAAGCGAGAGCGACAGCUUUUUAGUGCUGAAUCAGAGCUUCAAAGAGUAAAGAAGGAGCUGCAAGCAGAACAUGAAAGAAAUCUGCAGGUGCUUCAGGAUUCUGUGCGUCGAGCCAGAGAGGAAUGUGCACACCAGCUAGAACUAGAAAGGUCAAAAAUCAAACAACUGGAAGAAGACAAGCUUCGCUUACAUCAGCAGCUUUAUGAAGCAGAAAAUAAGCAUAAGACUUUGGAGAAGGAGUUCCAGCAAUACAAAGAACAGCAAAGUAGCAAACCAGAAAUCCAGCUACAAUCAGAAAUAAAUCUUCUCACUUUAGAAAAGGUUGAACUUGAAAGAAAGUUAGAGUCAGCUACCAAGUCAAAGCUGCACUACAAACAACAAUGGACAAGGGCUUUGAAAGAACUUGCAAGGUUAAAACAGCGUGAACAAGAAAAUGCAAUGGCUCACCUUAAAAAGCAGCAACAAGAGCUCGAGCACAUGAGGUUGCGCUAUUUGGCAGCAGAAGAAAAAGAGCUUGGGAAGACAGACCGACAAGAGCUGGAGGAUAUCAGAAAUGAACUUAACAGGAAGAAGCAGUUCUGUGAUUUCAUGGCUAGUAAUUGCUAAUUUUUUUACUUCGGGAAAUUUAAGAGCCACUGAUGAUGCAUUUACUGCCUAAAGGAGACAGGCAAAAAAUAUAAACCAGCUUUAACUGCAGAAGGAGAUUUUUCUGCUUCAUGAAAACUCAGAGCAAAGGCUGAGCCUGCUGCUGAAGUGAUUUGAGUGUCACACAGGUGAGGUGAAGGAUGUGGCAAGAUCAGCGCUACCACACAGCGAUCACCAGGAUGUUUUUAAGCAGUGUGGCUCCAGGUGAUGUUUGGUUUUGUUGAUUGGUACUGAUAGUGCACAAUUCCUCUUUGAUGUAUUUUUCUUCCCAGGGUCAGAGGAGGGUAAAGUUUUUGUGAUGUAACAGUGAGAUUUAGUAUUCAUAUGACUUUUCUUGGACUGCAGCAGAAGUCUGCAUCUCUAGUGCCCACCUCUCAUCUUGUUUGAGUACCUAGGAGGACCCUUUAGAUUGUGGUGAGUGUGAAAAGCCCAAAAUACUUUGAUGACAUCUUAAGUGAAAAACACAGAAUUUACAGACCUUGUUUUGCACACCUGGUUAAGAAUGAAACAAGGUGUUUGGUAGUUUCCAUCCCUCAAAGUAAUGCAGACUGGGCUGAUUACAGAUGCCUGAUUGCUCAGUGCUACCAGCCUAGGUAGCACUUUGUCUGGUUUAAGAAGUACAGAUAUCUGUAACUUAGACACUUCUUGCUGAUUUGGUGCCAAGUGGAGAAUUUCAGGAAAAAAAUGAGGAAAUAAUCAGAUCAGGCCCUGGCAACUCAUGCUGGCAGAGUGCUUGAAACACAUCUCCCUGUGCUUUUCCAAGGUUACAAAUAAGAAUUAAACUUUCAUGUCUGGGACCAGCCAGCCUUUAACAGGAGAAAUCUAGAAAUCUUAUUGCACUAUUAGUGCAUCAAUGUCCUACUCUAUUAAUUUGGAUCCUAGGGAAUUCACGCUGAGAAACAAAUGGGUCCUAGCAGAACAAAUAAAAAGAAAUAAGCAGUAAACCAUAAUACCUCCUCAGUCAGCUGAAUAUUUCAGAGAGUCCCCAGAAUUAUUUUAAUAAUUUCUCAUAGACAGCCCUUGAUCUGAGCUAUGUCAGCACUUCUGAGAGAUUCUCUAAGGACUCAUAAGAGGUACCUCAUCCAUGCAUCCGUGGUUAAUAAGUUCUCUAUCUUCACAGCACAAUGAUGGGCUCUUAUGAAUCUUAGACACAGCACCAAACUUGAUGCUUUCAUUAGAGGGCAGGAGGUUUUUUUGGGUGGGCUUUUUUUGGGUGUAUUUAUGCAAGUUUAAAUUAAAUACAUGAGUUCAGUAAAGAGAGCAAGAAAUCUCAAAAACAAAAUUCAAAGUGAAAAAAUCCAACACCACCAAAACAAACAAAACAACAGAAGAACUACAAAACAGAAAAAAAAAAAAACCUCACUAGAAACCAGAGGGCAGCAAUCAUGAAUCUGUAGAUGCUUUCACAAACCAAACAUAUUUAGUUUUACUAAAAGGCACCUUCCUGAACUACCGACCAAGGGAAUAGAAAUCAGUGCAUCUCAAUGAGAUAAAAAUGUUUCUUCUAGCAGACCCCUAGGAGCUGCUUAUCUUGCUGGAUAUCUGUAUUCUCAGCUGCCCUAAAAAGAACUGGGACUCUGCAUUUAACAACAGCAACCUCAUUCCAUGCCUCUUCUAGAGCAGAGAUACUGUCAAAAGCAUUUCUGUGCAAGUCCUGAUGUAUGUGAUGACUGCACUGGGUACAGGGACAACAAAGCUGUUUAAAAGUAUAAAUUUACUGUCCAUUGAUUAGCACAAUUCCUGCAGGCCCCAUGAAUUAUUUUUUUUUUAAUGGAUAUCAGAUACAAGAACAAAGCUGUGAGAUCAAACAUAAAUCUGCUUUGCUCAGAGCAAAAUUCUGUGUUCAUAGUUUAUUCCUAUGCAUUUUAGAACCAUUCCAAUUAAAAAUGUAUCUGAUAAAUGGAAAAAAAUAGGCCUAAAUUCUCCAGUUUUGGUGGAAUAUUUCAGUUCAGAAGGAACCAUUAGAUGAUGCAGCCUCAUUUUUGUUUGUCAGGGGGUUUCUAUUUAAUCUAGCUAUACUUGGAUAGGCCCCAGUGGUCCCUUUUGGCUGCAGAACACUUGCUUUGACUUAACCAUAUCUUCCAGAAAUAUUCUCUAGCUUAAUUUGAGGACAUGGGUUCAGGCACUAAGCAUCCUGCCUACCUGCAUGCAAAUCCAAUGUAUCCCUGCCAGGUUGAUGGGAAGAAAACUCUUCAAUAGGUCUGACAGGGCCAGAUCCUGAUGCAGCCAGCAGGAGGGAAAAAUUUUCUAAACCCAUUUGCAAACAAUUUUCACUAAACACUUCCGUAAACCUUCUGGGCUCUGUAAUUCAACACUGGCUUUGAGCUCCAGCCUUUUAUUGGCAGUGUAUCUUGGCUUGAUCUCAUGCCUCCAAUGUUAAAAGCCAAGUUUUGAAAAUUAAGCUGUUGGGUUGACUAUGGGUUAGAUACACUCUUGAUCCAAGUACAGCAGUUUUUGAAUCUCUUUGUACUGCUUUACAAUUAAAUCAGUCUUUCAAUUGUUUUUGGGGUUUUUUUCCCCAGUUUUUCCUCUUUUUCUAUAAGAAUAAAUAAAAAAAUCUGUUCAUUUAAACUUCCUUGCUUUCUGUUGAAUUCUGGAGUCUUUAUGGACAUACGUGGCUCUGACUGUUGUAAGACUGGUGUUUCCAGUGCUUUCAGGUAAUUCCCCUUCCCCAGUCCCUCUCUUGUUAAACAUGUAUUUGAUUUGAAUAGAGCAAAAGGUGAUGGAAACAAAUGAGAGUGUGCAAUGGAGACACACCUUAGGAAUCAAAGAUGGAAAGAGUAAAGAGCAAGAUGUCAUCCAUAUUGCUCCUGAUCAGCAGUGAGGAGUCAUGACAGUUUUUUAUUUAGAUCUUACAGUUUACUUGUCGUGGGCAAGAGAACCUGGUGAGAUUAACUAGUUUAACUUAGUUUUGGAUUUAUUACGAAGAAAUCUUUGCACAAUUUUGUUUUAUCACCUGUGGGCCUCAUGUGACACCUCACUCUUGUGUUUCCAUGUGUUCUGCUGUUGCCAUACGACGACAACACUUUUCAUUUUGUCCUUCUCAUGGACAAGAGGUGAUCUCUUUGUUCCCAGCUCCCAAGGCUGCUGAGUGUACUGGCAGUAUAUUGGACUUCCUGUGCCUUGAAAAUAAAAUACAAACAGGAGGCAAAGGAUGAAAGAUUUGUCACCUGUGUCAUGAGGAAAGAAAAUCCUGCAGAGCCGGGAAGAAAUCUGGAGAAAACUGGUGAGCAGAUCAAAAGUUUCUGAAACCUGUGAUUUCCAUGAUGGCAAACAUCACAAUAGAAAACAAGGUAAAAUCAAAACCAACAUCUGGAUCAUUACCAUGGGAUUAUAUUAGAUAAUGAGCCAAUAAUAUAAAGGAACCUAUGCUUCCUUUUACUGGGGUGGAGCCAGAUCUGGGAAUUUUUACAUCUGAAGACAAUCUAGAAGCAUACUAGAAGCAUGCUACUUACUGAAAUGUCCAUGGGACAGCCAUGGGAUUUUGUGGGCCAAGAGCCUCUGUGCUGAGGCUGUUGGCAGAAAGGGAGCUAACCAGCAACCUUAUUUAACACAGGAAAAUCCUAAACUAGAAAGGUGCCAGCAAACAAAGGAGAGGGAAGAGAAAAGCCAUACAUGGCUUAAAAUUCUUCCAUGAUCUACAGUGUAACACCUAUUAUGUGCACAAUGCAUACACUCCAUUAGGACUUGGGGUGAAUUAAGGCCAUAUGACCAUGCAAGACUGAUAGAGAAAAAGUAUUUUUGCAGCCACAGUAAAAAGUAAAACAAUGAUUUUAAAAUCAACAGUGUUGCUCAAAAGCUUGCACGGAAGAACCAAUCAUUAAACUCUCUGGAGGAUCAUGCUCCGUAUGAUCAUGAUCAAUAUAAAAAUAAUGUAUAAAAUCAUGAUCAGUAUAAAAAUGUUCAUCAUUUUCUGCUUUUGUAAUUAAAUCUAGACAGGAAGCAUCCCUUGAAAUACUUUUAGAUGAAAAUGAGCUCUUGAAGAGAGGAAUCUUGCACAAAUCAGCCCAUUUUAUAGAGAUAUUUUAAAUUAUUUCCCCCUAAAACCUAGAGAAUAUAUUUCUCUCUUCUUUUUUCCUCUUCUUUUUCUCUUUUUUUUGCCACUUCAAGUAAAUCUUUUACUUCUCUAGAGAGCAAAUUCUUAGAGGAAAAAAUGAUAAAUCCUUGAUUGAUAAUUGAUAAUGUGUACAUGAAGGAAGAUCUUUCCCUAGGAGCUCUUCUGUUAACAGGGAGCAAAGCAAAAGUAGGAAGAUGGAGGGGAGACACAAGAUUGCUCUAAACUUCCUUCGGAACUUAAGUGCCCCAGAUCUGCUUACCUCCCAAAAAAUUUGAGUACAGAUGCCCUCCUCUCAUUAGCUUUUAAAUAAAAACAAGCUCAACAAACUGAUGUUGAUAGUCAGAUACUGUGCUCAGUUGUGUCUGCCUAUGGUCAUGGACAUGUAUCUUUGUCACAUAAGCGAUUCCAAAAACUGAGAUGGGAGUAACAUGGUGUUGUUAUCAUGGACUAAUCAGACACUACUGCAGUACUAGGGUGCAAUUACUAUUAGAGCAAUAUCUUAUCCCCAUUCUUGAGGACUUUAUGCAUAAGUAGAAGAAAUUUGUUUUAUAUAUUUAAAAAAAAACAACAAAAGAGAGAGAAAUUUGAGAGCCAAACAAACACAGAUAUUACAAAUAUGGUUCAGUGUAUGCAUUUAUUGCACUCUUUCUUUUGCUUGAUAGAAAGUAUUUGUCUAAUGAAUUUUUUUCAUUUAUUGCAUAUAUAAUUAUUUUAUGCUUUUAUUACUUUUAUUGCAUUUAUUUUAUAAUUACUUUUAUGGGAAAUACAGAAAACAAUUGUCCUGUUAUAAGGCUAAUAAAAAAGAAAUAAAGCUAAAUAGCUUCCAGAAGAAUUAUUUGAUCUCUGUAGAGUGUGCUUUAGGCUAAAAUGUUCUUGGCUUCCUAAAAAAAAAAUAAAUUCCAGGUUGAAAACUCUGCAUGACUAUUAUAGUUUGAAUCAUUCUAUUGAGGCUAAGAUUAUAAAAAAAAAAUGUAUUUCUGUGACUUGUUGUGCCAAUAUAAACAAAUACCAGUUCCUUCUCUGGUCAUUUGCAAACUUAUUUGGAGAAACUCUAGAGAUGAGAAGAAUGAUUGAAUGCAGUAAUGUCAGAGGGGAAAAGAAAAAUAGAAGUAUAGUAGAUGAAAAUUAUAACAGGCAAGAUGGGAAAGGGGAGAAGACUAAAGACUGGAAAAAGUUUAAAUCCACGGAGAAGUACCGGUAACAUUCAUCUGCUGCGGUUGGUGGAGAAGACAGCACUGGGGAGAAAGGUAGUGAUACAACUACAGCUAUAAUGGAUGGCCCAGGCUUCACUAAUAUUCUUUUCCAAGACAGAGGGUGUCUCUAAAGUUAUCCGUAAUAAAAAUUGUUUAAAAAAAAAAAAAUGAAGGUUCAUUAAUGCCUUCUUCCAAGAUGAGACACACUGAGUAUGAAGAUUGUGGUUCAUUUUGUGAUAGACUGUAUUUUCCUCUUCCUCUCCUAUGUCCUUGGACCAGUUCCAACCAUAUUUGGUUAUCUAGGUCUUCUACACCAUUAGUUUUCUGAUGUCCUUACUAACACAAAUAAGAAAUCACCCGUGGCUAUGUUCAGGUAUCUGUGGUCCUUAUUUUUUGCCUCCGUAAGUGACUCAGAUUUAGAGCAAGGAAGCUACCUGUGGUUGUUCCUUGACUAGCUGGUAAAGGAUUGUCCUCAGGCUGGCCAUCAGGAAAUACUGAGAAUUAAAAUAAAGCCCCCAUCUGAUGCACUGGCUUGUAGCACGCCUAGUUUUAAGGGACCAAAUUAUUGUACAAUAGUUGCUGUCCAUUUUCACCAGACACGUGGGCGUGUUAUGCACCCUGCAUUAUAUUGGUUAUUCCAGAAGGCUGUCAGAUCCCCUGCAGCCAUGGAACACGAGGCUGGCAAAGCUUGCUCUCAAAAUGUUUUGCUGACUGUCUUUUAGCAAGUAUGAAAAGAAGUAAGUCUGAGGACGGGGAAAUUGACACUCAGUACGUGGAGGUCAGAGUGCAGCUUCAACAUCUGUGUACCAUCAGUUCAAGAGUAGUUUGGGUUUGUGGACUUGUUGUAACUGGCAGAUGCUUUUUGAUGCCAAGGAGGCUACCCAAGCAGUGUGUACCAUGACUUGGAUGCUGCUGACAUCUUGUCUACUUGUCUGGGAGCAAGUUUCCACUUUAUUUGGGAAAAAACCCAGCAAAAAACAAACAUUAAAACUGAUCCUAUCUAGCUUUCCUGGUCUUUUUCACUUUAAUAUAAGCUUGAUUCUUUCCCAGACCUCAGUGAGCACAUUCAGAGACAAAUUAAGUAAGCAGCACACUGUUGGUCCUCAGUGCCUCUAAGAAAGUUCAGUAAAUGAGUUAAAAGAAAAAUACUAGUAGACCUGAGUCUCACCCCUUCUAAAUCAUGCCCCCAAAGAGUUUCAAGGUGGUGGACCCCAGGACUUUUCCAUAUCACAGACUGGGCCAUCGGCCAAAGGACUCCUCCACCCACCACCCCCUUUAGACAUUUGUGUCUCAUUAGCUCAUGACAGAUUACGCAGCUUUGGUGAUAUAAUCUCAUAUAGCAAGACUCAGUACAAUUCUUGUUGGAAAGAACUUUCCAUGGAUGUAUAGGAACUUGCCUUGAAUGAUUGACUAUCCCUGCUACUUGCAAAUCAGCAGGCAGCCUGCUGCCCGAUUUACCUGAGUAUUUUCUCAAAUAUAGUGGUUUUGCUCAAUUAUUCUACCAUGGUGGUUCUUGUGCUUAUGUAAAAGGUCAUAUAACAUGAAAGUGACAGAAACUGACAUAUUUUUCGCAUACUCAAGUCAUAUUUUUUCAAGUGGAACAAGGGGUAGCUUAGUAAACUGAUCGCUGCUCUUUUUCACACACAAUGGCAGUGAUAAAAUGUUGAAAAAAGCGCUGAAGGUCCUUUGCAGUGGAGCAUGGUUACUGCUUUUAACUGUGGUUUUGGAAUGACUUCUGAAGAAUGAGUUCAGAGUCCUUAUCAGCUGGAAUUUUGAAAUUCUGUCUUAGUCCACUAGAUGGUGAUCCUUUUAAUCAGGAUUCGGGUAACCAAAAAUUACUGGAGCCAUCAACCACAAAAAAGCCUGGCACUCGAGUGGGGAGAAUAGAAAAACUUGGUUAUAAUAUGUCAUGAUUUACAUGAUUAUCAUAAUUUUGGAAAGUAUUCUGAAAUACGUUCGAGACAUUGCUUGAACAUGACUAUAGCGUUUCCUCCGCAAUGUAUCAAUAGGAGUUGUGAGACCCAGUGACCAAGAAACCAAAACUUGAUCUCAUUCUCUUCUGCAAAUUCGCAAGAAUUUGCAACUUCCAAGCUGCAAACACCUUUUGGAAGCUGGUAAUGACAACUACAGCAGGGCAUGCUGAUUAUUUGAGGCUACUUUCAAUGCACAAUCAUUCAAGCAUAUUUGAUUUUUCUACAGAAAACAGACAAAAUUCCAUAAGUAAUAUCAACAUAAGGCAAAGGCUUAGGGUACAGUAAUAGAAAUGUUUUAUUAAUCAAAUAUAUUUACAUUUCUUCAUAUUCUUUUUAAAUGUGUGCCUGUUAUUUUCAUUUAAACACAAUGUCAUCUUUACAUUUGAUAUCACAAGAAUACAGCUACAUGCAUGACUUAAUUGGUCCUUUACAGUAAAAAAGAGGCAAUUUUAUGAAGUUUAAAAAAUGCAAGCAAACUGUUUAUCAUUCUAAUGACAGUGUCAUUAUUAUUUUUAUUACGACACAGGACCCCUUCAGCAUACUCUACAUCUAUAGGGUGGAUUUAUGGGCUUUUUCAGAUUGAAUUGAUGAUGUCGAAACUUCCAAAAUCAAGGAAGAACAAAAAAUUUCAUGCAGUCCAAGAAUAUCAUGUUUUCUGGAAUCUUAUCCACAGAAAGGACUUGCAUGGAACAGAAUAGCAUUCUAAUUGUAAUUUCUAAAAAAACCAGAGCAACUUAACUACUCUUAAAAGCAAUGAGGAUUUAAUUCUGGACAUUCAUCUAUUUAUUUGUUUGAAUUCACACCAUUUUUUCAGCUAUAAGACAGCGUCACAUAACACAAUGGCACCAUACAAAAAAUAAAUAUUAAUUUAAAGGAGAGAUGAUGUUACCAAAAGUAAAAGGCAUACACAUAAUUCCUUGUAAGUCUCUAUUAUGUGAUGUUUUGUAAUUAUAUUAUUCCAAAUUUGGGGUUCUUUCAUGGGAAGAAAAUCAAAUUGUAUUUUAAACUAUCAUCUUUAGGGGUUAUAAGUAGGUUUAUAAAGGACCUAAAGUCUUUCUGAAAGGUAUAACUCUAUGAACAUAUAAAAUUUAAUUCCACACUGAAAAAGAAUCAGAACUAGGCACAGUUUUUAAAUAUGAUUUCCAACAUGUUCAGGGUUUGACAAAAAAAAAUCCAAAACCAAAAGCUUGUAUUUUUUACCAGACUACAAAACAGAGAUGCCAAGUGCUUCAGAAAUUCUGAAAUGGCAGGCACAUAAUCACUACAUUUAAAGAUAAUUGUAUUACACUUACUGCUUCAGAUUACUGUGUGCAAACACAUAUUGUAUGCAUAAUAGACCUAAAUGUACAGUUGUUCUGCUGAUACAUGAACUAAAACUCACUCAGCCUUUGGGAAGUCCAGACAGGAACUGAAUUCUGUUUAGUCCAAACCUAGAAUGUAUUUUAGUUUGUUCAUGUUGGCUUUACAUUUGCCAUAAGGUAACAAAAUGCCAAAUGUGUACUUGAGAAAACGCCACUAUGAAAUCAUGGGUUUUCACUGUAUUGCUUUUGUAUGCUGCCAAAUCUGUUGUGAAAAUGCAAUGUAUAAAAUAGUACAAGGAUUGAAAUUGUGUUUAGGCAUAUGGAACAGCAUAGUGAUUUACACUAGAGAGAAUUAUUUGGAAGUAAAUAAAAUGACUUCUGCAGACAUACUACUCUAGUGCAUUUUUUUAAAAAAUCCAGUACAGUCUUGAAACAAUUGACCUUCACACCCACUCAGCAGAAUAUUUAGACAUGUUAAAAUGAAAACAUACAAGUAAGCCUACCUGUAGUCAGCAGGGAACUUGGAAUAUCUGUAAGCACAUACUUAGGCGCUAUUUGCACUACAGGAUUCGAAUACAGUGGAGUGCUCUUCACUGCCACGAACCUCAUUCCUGACCAUGAGAGCAUGGUUAGAUAGUGCAACAGCACAAUAUACUGAUCUCACAUAGCUCACAUUUGCUUUUCAGAGCAUGACAUUUUCCCACUUACUCCAUUUAUAAAUUUUCUGACCUCUUGUUCUUUUUUUUAACUGUUUGCUUGCAAAAAUGAUCAAAACAUACUGUUCAAAAAUGUAACUAAUAGUAGGUGCCCACCAGAAUGUUACUUUCCAUUAAGUCACUUAAAUAAGGGAAAAUGUGAACUACCAGGCAUGAGUGUCUGAAAGGUUUAGGAUUUUAUUUUGGUUUCUUCUGUUUCAUUAACUUUGUUAGGAACAAAACGAUGUUCAAAUAGUCACCUUUAAGUUACAAGUCUUCCUACCCAGCUUCCCAUGCUUCUUUGAACCUAAAAACAAACCAACAAACAAACACAUUUAUAUAGUAGCUAAGAGUUUCUCAUAGUUUUGAGGAUAGAAUCAGGCGGGCGACAGAAUCGCUCACUCCCCAUACCUCUGCACUCAGAAAUAGAGCUGAAAACUCAUAGGGAUGAAGCUUCUUUAUGAGAUAAUCUGGUAUUUUCUAGAAGAACAAUACAAAAAAAUCCUUUUUUUCCCCACAAUCUUUUUUACAUUUCUAAUGGCCAAACACAAGUACUCCUGAAGUAAUUCCCUGCAAAGCUUUGGAAACUCCAGAUUCUGCAGUGUAGUUUUUACAAUAUAAUAAAUUAACAUCAUGCAGUAUGGAUGUCUUAGUUUUUAAACUCCUUUUAAAUGCAUUUGAAUUUUACUGUAAGCUCUUUUUCUGCUUGAGCUCUUUGCAGAAUUCAUAAAUGGUCUGAACCUGGUGUUAAAUUUGUAGCUGAUUCUGUCUAGCCCUUUACAGAACUGGAUACUUUAUUCUCUACAUAUUUAAAAUCAUCCCCAUAAAUGUGUUUAAAAUAUUUAAUAUAAUCAACUGAGCCCUUAUGAGCCACUCAGCACUUCAGUUUUGGUGCAAAACUGAAUUAUUCUGUUUUAAUCCCCAUAUUCUCCACAAUUUUAUUUUGCAGUUUUACCUUAUGAUAAAGCAUGACCUCAGACUGUUUAAGUUUUGCUUCUUGGUGGUUGUGAUCUUGUUUCUUUUUGUUUCAAUUUAUUAUCUUUUUUUAUUUUUUUAAGUUUUUUUUCUGGUUUUUUUCUGUUUUUUUUUUCCUUUUUUAAACAUUUUUAUCAAUCUACAGUUCUAGCAUUGAGAUAAUCAAUAUUUAAACAAAUGCCACUGUUCUCUAAAUGUGAAAACAUAAUUUAAUUAGACAAAAUUGUGAAAUCUGAAAUAAAUCAUGGAUAAAAACAUGGAAAAAAGCCAAUACAGAAAUUGUUAAAUCAAACCAAUGUAAUGACAUCUGAGCUUUUUACAUUUGUGUUGGGAGUAUUUUGGCUUUCCCUCAUUCACUGUACCAGGCAAAUUUCCAUGAAGUGGAUGCUAUGAAACCUUCAAGAAAUUUACAAAGUGUCUGUAUUCAGAUUUGUCCUUUGUUUUGAAGCUCAGCCCAAUGGUAUUGAAAGCUUCAUCUAACACAGGAGCAUUUCCAACUUUAUCCAGAUAACAGACUAAAAAUAUCAAUGGACUAUAGUUUGGAUUUCUGAUUGAUUUUUCUAGAAAUCUACAUGACAUUAAAUCAGUUACCCAAACCAAAAGUAUCCUUUAGGUUUUCUGCUCCUUGUAAUAUGAUUUACACAUGGACUGGAAUAUUUAGUGUUUAAAGUAUUUUUUACCACCUCUGUCUUUCAUAGCUAUUAGACUUAAUUUGAAAGCUCUAUUAGCUUUAAUACACUUUUCCUAUUCGU
Molecule: RNA transcript, 14036 nt
Organism: Parus major (Great Tit)
Lineage: Eukaryota; Metazoa; Chordata; Aves; Passeriformes; Paridae
Gene: CEP120
Gene name: centrosomal protein 120
Exons: 24
Source: RefSeq, a predicted model, not a curated record